GACGAACGCUGGCGGCGUGCUUAACACAUGCAAGUCGAACGAGAGGAGAAGGAAGCUUGCUUCUUUCAAAUCUAGUGGCAAACGGGUGAGUAACACGUAAACAACCUGCCUUCAGGAUGGGGACAACAGACGGAAACGACUGCUAAUACCGAAUACGUUCCUUAGGUCGCAUGACUUUAGGAAGAAAGGGUGGCCUCUACUUGUAAGCUAUCGCCUGAAGAGGGGUUUGCGUCUGAUUAGGUAGUUGGUGAGGUAACGGCCCACCAAGCCGACGAUCAGUAGCCGGCCUGAGAGGGUGAUCGGCCACAUUGGGACUGAGACACGGCCCAGACUCCUACGGGAGGCAGCAGUGGGGAAUAUUGCACAAUGGGGGAAACCCUGAUGCAGCAACGCCGCGUGAGUGAUGACGGUCUUCGGAUUGUAAAGCUCUGUCUUUAGGGACGAUAAUGACGGUACCUAAGGAGGAAGCCACGGCUAACUACGUG
Molecule: ribosomal RNA, 485 nt
Filed under: uncultured bacterium
Lineage: Bacteria
Description: bacterial SSU rRNA
Rfam family: Bacterial small subunit ribosomal RNA
Source: RNAcentral